GACGAACGCUGGCGGCGUGCUUAACACAUGCAAGUCGAACGAUGAUGCCAGCUUGCUGGUGGAUUAGUGGCGAACGGGUGAGUAACACGUGAGCAACCUGCCCCUGACUUCGGGAUAACCGCGUGAAACCGUGGCUAAUACCGGAUAUGACGCGCUAUCGCAUGGUGGUGUGUGGAAAGAUUUAUCGGUUGGGGAUGGGCUCGCGGCCUAUCAGCUUGUUGGUGGGGUGAUGGCCUACCAAGGCGACGACGGGUAGCCGGCCUGAGAGGGUGACCGGCCACACUGGGACUGAGACACGGCCCAGACUCCUACGGGAGGCAGCAGUGGGGAAUAUUGCACAAUGGGCGCAAGCCUGCUGCAGCGACGCCGCGUGAGGGAUGACGGCCUUCGGGUUGUAAACCUAUUUCAGUAGGGAAGAAGGCCUUCGGGUUGACGGUACCUGCAGAAGAAGCGCCGGCUAACUACGUG
This 468-nucleotide ribosomal RNA is filed under the name uncultured bacterium. Its description in RNAcentral is "partial 16S ribosomal RNA". It matches the Rfam family "Bacterial small subunit ribosomal RNA", at positions 28 to 507 of the family's 1533-position model. The record is from RNAcentral.